Molecule: long non-coding RNA, 203 nt
Organism: Vicugna pacos (alpaca)
Lineage: Eukaryota; Metazoa; Chordata; Mammalia; Artiodactyla; Camelidae
Source: RefSeq, a predicted model, not a curated record
CGGCAAGUUCAAAAACCACAGACAAGUUUACUCAGGGUGACAAACAUGCCUUCCACGUCUGGAUCUCAGUGCCCAGCACAGCACCUGACUCAUCAUAGGAACUUGGCCAAGACUCCCUCCUGCAAACCAGACCUGGCCUUUGGAUUCUUCAGCCUCCCCUCAACCCUCUGACUCUGAAGCUCAAGCUGACCUUGGUAAAGAUG